UACAGAGGUCCCAAGCGUUGUUCGGAUUCACUGGGCGUAAAGGGUGCGUAGGUGGCCAGGUAAGUUUGGUGUGAAAGCCCGGGGCUUAACUCCGGGUCUGCGGUGGAUACGGGCAGACUAGAGGCAGGUAGGGGAGAACGGAAUUCCCGGUGUAGCGGUGAAAUGCGCAGAUAUCGGGAGGAACACCCGUGGCGAAGGCGGCCGGCUGGGCCGAUCCUGACGCUGAGGCGCGAAGGCGUGGGGAGCGAACGGG
RNAcentral lists this ribosomal RNA (253 nucleotides) under uncultured bacterium. Its description in RNAcentral is "partial 16S ribosomal RNA". It matches the Rfam family "Bacterial small subunit ribosomal RNA", at positions 524 to 776 of the family's 1533-position model. The record is from RNAcentral.